RNAcentral lists this long non-coding RNA (351 nucleotides) under Nicotiana benthamiana. RNAcentral's name for it is "long non-coding RNA (NBEN_LNC017090)". Lineage: Eukaryota; Viridiplantae; Streptophyta; Magnoliopsida; Solanales; Solanaceae. The record is from RNAcentral.
AAAUGUGUUGUUGAAAAUAGGGAGAGGAGGAGGGAAUGUUGAUAUUAGAGUUACCCCUGAUGAGAAUUCGGAUGGUACGGGUAGGAUUGGAGUUCAACUGUCACCAAAUUUCAAGAUUUCGAAAGUUCAGCCUAAGAAUAUAUUUGAGGCUUUUAGCUUCUCAGGAAGAGAAUUUUGGGGUCUUACGUUCAACGUAUUGGACAGUUUGAAACAGCCUAAGAACAUAUUUGAGGCUUUUAGCUUCUCAGGAAGAGAAUUUUGGGGUCUUACGUUCAACGUAUUGGACAGUUUGAAACAGACUUUUAUGAACUUCUCUCAGACGGCUAGUAAGGUAUCGGGUCCUGUUGCCAU